UACGGAGGGUGCAAGCGUUAUCCGGAUUCACUGGGUUUAAAGGGUGCGUAGGAGGGCAGGUAAGUCAGUGGUGAAAUCUCCGAGCUUAACUUGGAAACUGCCGUUGAUACUAUCUGUCUUGAAUAUUGUGGAGGUGAGCGGAAUAUGUCAUGUAGCGGUGAAAUGCUUAGAUAUGACAUAGAACACCAAUUGCGAAGGCAGCUCGCUACGCAUAUAUUGACUCUGAGGCACGAAAGCGUGGGGAUCAAACAGG
Molecule: ribosomal RNA, 253 nt
Filed under: uncultured bacterium
Lineage: Bacteria
Description: partial 16S ribosomal RNA
Rfam family: Bacterial small subunit ribosomal RNA
Source: RNAcentral